This is a long non-coding RNA of Etheostoma spectabile (orangethroat darter), 106 nucleotides long. RefSeq lists it as uncharacterized. Lineage: Eukaryota; Metazoa; Chordata; Actinopteri; Perciformes; Percidae. The record is from RefSeq and is a predicted model, not a curated record. The transcript has 3 exons.
AGAACAGCCUGGUAAGUUGAGAAAAUGACAUCACUUUAGUGUAGUACAGCCUGUGAAACCAGGAGAAGACACCAGUUAUGUCCAUAUCAUCUUAGAUUUUGGAUAU